Molecule: ribosomal RNA, 719 nt
Filed under: uncultured fungus
Lineage: Eukaryota; Fungi
Description: SSU rRNA
Rfam family: Eukaryotic small subunit ribosomal RNA
Source: RNAcentral
AGGCCUACCAUGGUGGUAACGGGUAACGGGGUGUUAGGGCACGACACCGGAGAGGGAGCCUGAGAAACGGCUACCACAUCCAAGGAUGGCAGCAGGCGCGCAAAUUACCCAAUCCCGACACGGGGAGGUAGUGACAAUAAAUAACAAUACGGGGUUCUUUAGGAUCUCGUAAUUGGAAUGAGUACAAUUUAAAUCUCUUAACGAGGAACAAUUGGAGGGCAAGUCUGGUGCCAGCAGCCGCGGUAAUUCCAGCUCCAAUAGCGUAUAUUAAAGUUGUUGCAGUUAAAAAGCUCGUAGUUGAAUUUCGGGGUUAGUAGGUUGGUCAUGCCUCUGGUAUGUACUGGUCUCACUGAUUCCUCCUUCCUUAUGAACCGUAAUGCCAUUAAUUUGGUGUUGCGGGGAAUUUGGACUGUUACUUUGAAAAAAUUAGAGUGUUUAAAGCAAGCUAACGCUUGAAUACAUUAGCAUGGAAUAAUGAAAUAGGACGUUCGAUCUUAUUUUGUUGGUUUCUAGGAUUGACGUAAUGAUUAAUAGGGAUAGUUGGGGGCAUUAGUAUUCAAUUGUCAGAGGUGAAAUUCUUGGAUUUAUUGAAGACUAACUACUGCGAAAGCAUUUGCCAAGGAUGUUUUCAUUAAUCAAGAACGAAAGUUAGGGGAUCGAAGACGAUCAGAUACCGUCGUAGUCUUAACCAUAAACUAUGCCGACUAGGGAUCGGAUGA